Molecule: long non-coding RNA, 1698 nt
Filed under: Nicotiana benthamiana
Lineage: Eukaryota; Viridiplantae; Streptophyta; Magnoliopsida; Solanales; Solanaceae
Description: long non-coding RNA (NBEN_LNC013179)
Source: RNAcentral
CUUGAUUGCUACCAGCAGAUGGUCGAUUGUUUAGUUGAAUAGCAACUUGUUGUGCAGAGGAAGCAUCUACAGGUGAACGUGCACUGAGCCUUGACAUGUCAGGAUCAAGUCGCAAAUCUGGGUUCAAACGCUGAAGUCGUGUGAUGACGUUCAUUGUAAUAUCUUGUUCCGUAGCAUCCUUAAGAAUGACAAUAUGCAGCCCCAACAGGAUCUAAGGUGUUGAAUGAUGGCUUCUUUUUUCAUGCUCCAAUUAAUGUUACAUUGCCUAAAAAUAAUCCCAAAAGGCAAAAAUCAAAGGAAAAAAACAGAAAAUUUCUGCAUUGGAUGAUACAGCUAGUUCUCCUUUCUUUGAUUUUUCAAAUGUAAGUUUACCUUUUUUAUGCAUAUUUUUUACUAGUAUUAAUGGAAGAAUGUGACUUUUUUUAAAGUUAACUUUCUUGAGGUUUUUACCUUAUUACAGAACAAUUUUACUAUCACCAAUGACACAGCUUCAGUGGAUAAUGUUUUGGACUUUUCACAAGGUUACUCUACAAUUCAUUUUCAGGUACUUAACUAGUUGUUGUUAUAGAUGUAAAUUUUGUGUUGACUAAUUAGUUGGGCCGGAGCUAGGGUGGCGGGAGAGGUUCAUCCGAAUGUCUUAAGUUAAAUAUUCUUUAGACUCUUGAAUCAUCUGACCCUUCAUUUAGACCUAAGAGACAUGCAACAGUAGGAAAUGUGUCUUAAGAUAUAUUUAUAGGCUCAGUAGUGAGAGGUGAAAUAAGAAUGACAACUUAAUACUCUUUUAGACUCACUGACACUGAAUCAUGAAAAAUGCAGCUAAGUUCUGUCGUCUAUGAUAUAUGUUAUUCAAGAAAUGUACCAGUAAUCACACUUCGCAUCAAAGGACUUCUUAUUAGGGAUGGGCCUCUAUUGUUUGACAUCUUUUAAGUUUUUAAAAUUUCAGUUAAUGUGUUGAGAAGCUAAGUAGUUUAAGAUUGAUCUUUCUUUCCUUGUGUCAUUACAUUUAUAAAUCAGGGCAAUGCAUGGAUUAUUAGCAGGAACUUUAAAUAAAUACAUAAAUGGUUUAAAUGAGACUGAAUUGAAACUUUAAAUGGUUCCCAAUUCCUUUUCCUAUUCAAAUAUCUAAACUUCAAGUGAGAUUGUUGCUAAGAUUAAGAGUUUCUAAUGAACCACACUGUGAGAGAUGCAGAGGUAUAGGCUGACCUUGAUUGCUACCAGCAGAUGGUCGAUUGUUUAGUUGAACAGCAACUUGUUGUGCAGAGGAAGCAUCUACAGGUGAACGUGCACUGAGCCUUGACAUGUCAGGAUCAAGUCGCAAAUCUGGGUUCAAACGCUGAAGUCGUGUGAUGACGUUCAUUGUAAUAUCUUGUUCCGUAGCAUCCUUUUGUUCGUUCAACUUUUCAUGCAUUUGUUGUUGCAUCCUCUCUUCCAUUUUUUGUUGCAUCCUCUCUUCCAUUUCCUCUAUUUUCUGCUGCAGCCUCUCAUCAGCAUCUAAAGAAGAUCCAAGAUUCCCUUUUUGCCCUUUUAACAAAGUCUUGGUAACCCCUCGUCCAUACAAUCUCACGCGGCCUGGAUGUUCAUGUCCCACAACUGAAGUAAAAGCGUCAACUGAAUGACUGUCAUCUUCACUUUGCUGAGUUGCUUGUAUUUUCUCCAUUUCAGCCUACAAACCAAAUACGAGAGAAAAGAGUUUUAACU